GUAGGUGGCAAGCGCUGUCCGGGAAUUAUUGGGCGUAAAGCGCGCGCAGGCGGUUCUUUAAGUCUGAUGUGAAAGCCCACGGGCUCAACCGUGGAGGGUCAUUGGAAACUGGAGAACUUGAGUACAGAAGAGGAAAGCGGAAUUCCACGUGUAGCGGUGAAAUGCGUAGAGAUGUGGAGGAACACCAGUGGCGAAGGCGGCUUUCUGGUCUGUAACUGACGCUGAGGCGCGAAAGCGUGGGGAGCAAACAGGAUUAGAUACCCUGGUAGUCCACGCCGUAAACGAUGAGUGCUAAGUGUUAGGGGGUUUCCGCCCCUUAGUGCUGCAGCUAACGCAUUAAGCACUCCGCCUGGGGAGUACGGCCGCAAGGCUG
This 373-nucleotide ribosomal RNA is filed under the name uncultured organism. Its description in RNAcentral is "partial 16S ribosomal RNA". It matches the Rfam family "Bacterial small subunit ribosomal RNA", at positions 527 to 896 of the family's 1533-position model. The record is from RNAcentral.